GGGGGUGUAAAGGUUUCGACGGGGAUUCUGAGGCGUGAUAAGCGGGUAGAGGUCGGAGAACCUCUUAAAUCAUCUCCAAACUCAAUUAAACGCCAACAACACUGAACUGGCAGCUGCCUAAGGGCGGCACGCGGCUGUAAGCCGCUCGUCUCCGGCGGGAGGGCUGCGGACCGCCGCGAGGCGUAAAAUCAGCAGCGAACGUGAACCGUGAGUUUGCUUUUGCAGCGGUCAUGCAUCAAAAAGCUACCGCGCGGCGGAGCCUGAAUACCGGCGCCGCGGCCGGGAAAUACAAAUGAUAUUCUGCACCCGGAGAAAGUCACGUCAAGGGGUUUUCGGACGUGGGUUCGAUUCCCACCAUCUCCACCA
Molecule: transfer-messenger RNA, 366 nt
Filed under: bovine gut metagenome
Rfam family: transfer-messenger RNA
About the family: Bacterial tmRNA, also known as 10Sa RNA or SsrA, is named for its dual tRNA and mRNA-like properties.
Source: RNAcentral